Molecule: long non-coding RNA, 604 nt
Filed under: Calidris pugnax (ruff)
Lineage: Eukaryota; Metazoa; Chordata; Aves; Charadriiformes; Scolopacidae
Description: lncRNA (ENSCPUG00000003233.1)
Source: RNAcentral
AUGGUAGACAAAACAUCUCCACCCACAGGCCCUCUCCACCCCCAGAUUAGAAGGAACACCCAUGAAAACUGUGCGGUCAUUUUGCUCAUGAUGGAGAGUAUCUGUUGUGCCCUUGCCUUGGAUCUGUAUGUUCUUUUAGGCAGACUAAGGACGGUGAAGUUCCCUGGAAGGAGGGCAAAGGAGAGGGUUUUGUCUCAAGCCAAAACACCAUCUCAGGGGGAGAUGUUCCAGCAACACAAACAUUUGGCUGGCAAGACAGUGGUGGACAGAUGGUAAAGAUGGGGUGCAGCCCAAAGCCCGACAGAGCCUGCCAGGCAUCGUAUCAGCCACCAUGAACACAAAGGUGCGUGAAGUCACCCUGUGGGGAAGAAACCGUUUCCCAAGAGAACUGCAAGACAAGCUGCUGGAUUUUUUUUUGUCUUCAAAAGCCACCAAACUAAGCUAGCAAAACAGAUGAGAGGAAAAGACAGAGUUUAAAUUUGCAGGGAGAUCCCUUGCAUCCACAGGGGGAGCUGAAAGAAAUGUUAAGAGAGCACAGAGAGUUACAACUUGACGGAGAGGGAAAAAAGCCCAGAAUGACAAUAAAAGUUCCUCAUGCUGUGCA